Molecule: ribosomal RNA, 436 nt
Filed under: Zygosaccharomyces rouxii
Lineage: Eukaryota; Fungi; Ascomycota; Saccharomycetes; Saccharomycetales; Saccharomycetaceae
Description: partial large subunit ribosomal RNA
Rfam family: Eukaryotic large subunit ribosomal RNA
Source: RNAcentral
AGGGUGAGAACCCCGUGAGGCGAGGUGAUCCAGUUCUUUGUAGAGCGCUCUCGAAGAGUCGAGUUGUUUGGGAAUGCAGCUCUAAGAGGGUGGUAAAUUCCAUCUAAAGCUAAAUACAGGCGAGAGACCGAUAGCGAACAAGUACAGUGAUGGAAAGAUGAAAAGAACUUUGAAAAGAGAGUGAAAAAGGACGUGAAAUUGUUGAAAGGGAAGGGCAUUUGAUCAGACAUGGUGUUUUGUGCCCCUCGCUCCUCGUGGGUGGGGGAAUCUCGCAGCUCACUGGGCCAGCAUCAGUUUUGGCGGCAGGAGAAAUCCUCGGGAAUGUGGCUCUUGCCUCUGGUAGGAGUGUUAUAGCCCGGGGGAAUACUGCCAGCUGGGACUGAGGUAUGCGACAUUUUGUCAAGGAUGUUGGCAUAAUGGUUAUAUGCCGCCCGUC